ACAAUUAUAAAUCACAGAGCUCUGGCAAAAAGAGAAACAGACAGUCGCAUAGCAACUAGCAAAUAUUACAGGCUCCAUAAGCUUUCUCACUGUUCAGAGAGUGUUCGGUUACUAUCUUUUCAGAACCGUCCUAAAUAUUUCCAUGUUACUGCUUACAAGCGGAGCUGAGAUUCCACCCUUAAUUGUGCUGGCUUCCAGAGAUUAUGUUCUUUCUAAUACACCAUGCUAGUGAAAUGGCCAGGGGCUGGACCCAGCACAAAGCGAGAUUGCAACAGAAAUGUACCAGAACCCAGUCCUUCCAUUUGUUAAUAAAGCAAAUAAUAAAUUUUUCACAAUACAACCGUCUGCUUCUGACGUGCCUGGGGCGGAAUUAAACUGACCUCAGCACAACCACGUGUCAGUAGCUGCUCUUUCCUACACUGAAGCCAAAAGCUGGCAAUUUCCAGUUUAAAAAUCGGAAAGACUUUUUAACGCUCUGCAUACGUGUUUACCAGCCACACAACGUUCGGUCAGGCCGUGUCAAAAGGCGGCGACAAAGAAAACCCUUCUCUGCCAGGCGUACCCAGCGCUCAGCCCGGGCCAGGCCGCCCCGGAGCUCGGGCCCAGGACAAAGCCGCUUCUCGCGGGACCGAAGGCUACGUGCUCAGGCCUGGCAGGGCCUGAGACUCAGGCCUUGCCUCCAGCGGCAGCAGUCUACACCCAUCCCCCCCGACCCGGGGAGCGGCAUUCGCCCUCGCCCUGGAGCCCCCCAGGACCAACCCCGGGGGCCGCACUCCCUUCGCCUCCGCCCGGCCACCGCCGGGAGAGGUCUCGUGUUCCGGGGCAACCUCAACCCCGGGAGGAUUGCAAUGGAUGCAUCCCUGAAGCCCUCCAAAUACCGGCCUUACCAUGGCUGCGCUGAGCACGGAAAGAGGGCCGGUCCUUUCCGGUGUCUCCAGAAAACAGGGUUGGACCCUGCGCAGGCCAGGGCCUCAAACGCUCCGCCCAGCGCAGCCUUUACUAGAGAGCUGAGGUGCUAUCUUGCCACCUACUGGUGGGAGGUCAGAAGUCCCGGGGAGGAGCAAGGGCGGCGGAAAGAAGGGUGUCUCUUAAGGGCACAUUUCCUCCUUUUCUGUCUCAAGUAGUUACUGAGCGUCUCUUGCGUCCCAGAUUCUGUGCUAGGUACUGGAAAUACAAAGAUGAAUUAGACAUGUUCCUGCCUUCAAGGAGAGUGCAAACAAUUGGUCCCUCCUGAUGACAUGUCCAAAGUAAGCAAGACAGAGUCUCACCAUCCUCACUUCUAAGGAGCAUUCUGGCUGUACUUCCUCCAAGCUUUCGCAUGCAUAUGAGGCCAUUGAAAAUACCAUGGCUUAUUGGCUACCGCUACUAAGCAUUUUUAUCGAAGAGUCUAUAGAAGAAUCCAGAUCAAAAGAGGGAAAAUGCGGAACAGAAUUUAAAAUUCUCGUAAAAUCUAGACUUUCUGGAGCUAUGGAGGCUGAAUGAACCCCUGGAACUAAUGCCGUGAGAUAACCUUUAAACCGUAAACCCAAAAUAUCCCCUGAAGUCUUCUUAAAACCAAACAAUAGUUUAGCUUAGCUAGUAAAGAAUGUCUGCCUUGAGCGUUAUGCUCUUUUAAGAUUAUUUAUAUGAGAUCAAAUUGACGACAGCAACAUGAAAGAUCAGAUAGGAACCUUAGGGGGCAGUGUUAAUGGGGGAGGAACAACUCAGAAAAGGAAGGUUAGAAUGGUUGCACAACUAGUAGAAUGUAACCAAUGUCACUGAAUUUGUACAUGUAGAAACUUGAAUUGCUGUAUGUUUUGCUGUGUAUAUUCUCAACAACAGCAACGACAACAACAAAAUAAAAUGAAUCACUAAAAAAAAAAAUCAUGGCUUGGAUCAAGAGCACCUUAGUCAUCAAAGUGAAAUCUUUGAUUUUUAGUACUCGAAGGAGGUCUUUUGCGGAUUUGCACAAUACAAUAUGUCAUUUGAUUUCUUGACUGCUGAUUCAGUGGGCACUGAUUGUUGGUCCAAAUAAAAGGAAAUCCUUGACAACUCCAAUCUUUUCACCAUUUUCCAUAAUGUUGUUUAUUGGUCCUGUCGUAAGGAUUUUCGUUUUCAUUAUGUUGAGGCGUAACCUGUAUUGAAGGCUUUGAUCUUCAUCAGUAAGUGCUUCAAGUCCUCUUCACUUUCAGCAUGCAAGGUUGUGUCAUCUGCAUAUCACAGGUUGUUAAUGAGUCUUCCUUCAAUCCUGCUGCCCCGUUCUUCUUCAUACGGUCCAGUUUCUCAGAUUAUUUGCUCAGCAUACAGACUGAAAGGUUACAACCCUGACGUACACCUUCCCUGACUUUAAACCAUGCAGUAUCCCCUUGCUGUGUUUGGACGACUGCCUCUUGGUCUAAGUACAGGCUCCUCAAGAGCACAAUUAAGUACUCUGGAAUUCCCAUUCUUCACAAUGUUAUACAUAAUUGGUUAUGAUCCACACAGUCAAAUGCCUUUGCGUACUUAAUAAAACACAGGUAAACAUCUUUCUGGUAUUCUCUGCUUUCAGCCAGGAUCCAUCUGACAUCAGUAAUGAUACCCCUUGUUCCGUGUCCUCUUCUAAAUCCGGCUUGAAUUUCUGGCAGUUCCCAGUCGAUGUAUGGUUGCAGCCAUUUUUUAAUUAUCUUCAGCAAAAUUUUGCUAGCAUGUGGUAUUGAUGAUAUUGUUCUAAAAUUUCCACAUUCUGUUUGAUUGCCCUUUCUUGGAAUGGGCAGGAAUAUGAAUCUCUUCCCAUCAUGGCACAUGUUUAAUGCCCAUCACUACCACACUUUUCCUUAUACCCCUUUGUAAUCCCUCACUCCUGCUCCUUCCACCCUCCGUUCCCAGGCGACCGCCGAUCUGCUUUCUGUUACUAUUGAUUAGUUUGUAUUUUUUAGAAUUUUAAAUAAAUGGAAUAAUACAAUAUAUACUUUUUUGGUCUGGCUUUUUUCACUCAGCAUAAGUAUUUUGAGGCUCAUCCAUGUCAUUGCGUGUAUCAAUAACUUAUAUUUUUUAGUGCUGAGUAGUGUUCCAUUGUCCUUUCACCUGUGGAUAGACAUUUGGGUUGUUUCCAGUUUUGGGUGAUUACAAAUAAAGGUGCUAUGAACAUUUCUGUACAAAUCUUUUUAUGGACAAUGCUUUCAUUUCUCCUGGGCAAAUAUCUAGGAGUAGAAUAGCAGUGUGAGAGUUCCAGUUGCUUCACAUCCUUGCCAACACUUGUUAAGGUCAAUAUUUCUAAAUUUUUGACCAUGCUAAUGGACGUGUAGUGCUAUCUCAUUGUGGUUUUAUUUUGCAUUUCCCUAAAGGCUAAUGAUGUCUGACAUCUUUUAAUGUGCUUUUUUGCCAUCUGUG
Molecule: long non-coding RNA, 3348 nt
Organism: Loxodonta africana (African savanna elephant)
Lineage: Eukaryota; Metazoa; Chordata; Mammalia; Proboscidea; Elephantidae
Exons: 3
Source: RefSeq, a predicted model, not a curated record